This 253-nucleotide ribosomal RNA is filed under the name uncultured bacterium. RNAcentral describes it as "partial 16S ribosomal RNA". It matches the Rfam family "Bacterial small subunit ribosomal RNA", at positions 524 to 776 of the family's 1533-position model. The record is from RNAcentral.
UACGGAGGGUCCAAGCGUUAUCCGGAAUCAUUGGGUUUAAAGGGUCCGUAGGCGGUUUUGCAAGUCAGUGGUGAAAGCCCAUCGCUCAACGGUGGAACGGCCAUUGAUACUGCAAGACUUGAAUUAUUGGGAAGUAACUAGAAUAUGUAGUGUAGCGGUGAAAUGCUUAGAGAUUACAUGGAAUACCAAUUGCGAAGGCAGGUUACUACCAAUAUAUUGACGCUGAUGGACGAAAGCGUGGGGAGCGAACAGG